RNAcentral lists this ribosomal RNA (426 nucleotides) under uncultured bacterium. Its description in RNAcentral is "partial 16S ribosomal RNA". It matches the Rfam family "Bacterial small subunit ribosomal RNA", at positions 354 to 796 of the family's 1533-position model. The record is from RNAcentral.
GUGAGGAAUUUUCCGCAAUGGGCGAAAGCCUGACGGAGCAAUGCCGCGUGAAGGAUGAAGGCCUAUGGGUUGUAAACUUCUUUUCUUAGAGAAGAAUAUUGACGGUAUCUGAGGAAUAAGCACCGGCUAACUCCGUGCCAGCAGCCGCGGUAAUACGGAGGGUGCAAGCGUUAUCCGGAAUCACUGGGUUUAAAGGGUACGUAGGCGGUUAAUUAAGUCAGUAGUGAAAGACUGUCGCUCAACGACGGAUGUGCUAUUGAUACUGGUGAACUUGAAUCAGGUUAGAGUUGGCGGAAUGGGUCAUGUAGCGGUGAAAUGCUUAGAUAUGACUUGGAACACCGAUAGCGAAGGCAGCUGACUGAGCCUUGAUUGACGCUGAGGUACGAAAGUGUGGGUAGCGAACAGGAUUAGAAACCCCAGUAGUCC